RNAcentral lists this ribosomal RNA (276 nucleotides) under uncultured prokaryote. RNAcentral describes it as "partial 16S ribosomal RNA". It matches the Rfam family "Bacterial small subunit ribosomal RNA", at positions 355 to 635 of the family's 1533-position model. The record is from RNAcentral.
UGAGGAAUUUUGCGCAAUGGGGGAAACCCUGACGCAGCAACGCCGCGUGGGUGAUGAAGGCCUUCGGGUCGUAAAGCCCUGUCGGGCGGGAAGAACGUCCCUUCGGGGAAUGACGGUACCGCCAGAGGAAGCACCGGCUAACUCCGUGCCAGCAGCCGCGGUAAUCCGGCGGGUGCAAGCGUUAUUCGGAAUUACUGGGCGUAAAGGGCGUGCAGGCGGGAGAGCAAGGCUGAUGUGAAAGCCCGGGGCUUAACCCCGGAAGGGCAUUGGAAACUG